UGACAACCGAAUCUCAAAGCAGCCCACCCCCUUCCCUGCGCUCCCCUGCUCUUUCAGCUUCUAAUCUGAAUCCCAUUCAUCUUCCUAACAGAAACCCAUCUCUGCCUUUUGCAUCUUGACGGCGACGGCACGGCAAGAUGACGCCGCUCGACGACGGCAGCGAGGCACCGGAUAAAGGUACAACAGCCCCUCCAUCGGAACCUUAUCUGCCUGCCUACGGCUCCACUCAUGCCCGACGGGCGGCAACGAGGAACUGGAUCAAGGUACGGCGGCAACGAGGGACUGGAUCAAGGUACGACAGCCCCUCCACCGAAACCUGCUCUGCCCACAGCUCCACCCAUGCAAUUGGCAAUGAACACAAUUCCACCGAGGACGAGCAGCCCACCAGGGAAUGAUGAAAGUAAUGCUCCAAGAGUUGGGAUGUGCUUUGAAUCAGAGUAAGCGGCAUACAGGUUCUACAAUUCUUAUGCUCAAACCAAAGGAUUCAGCAUUAGGAAGUGCCACCUUAAGUGUAGAGCAGAUAACAGUUCAAGUUCCAGAUAUUUUGUGUCUAGCAAGGCAGGUGUGAAGGCCACUAAUCCAACACAUGUAGCCAGGAAACAACGAGCAAUUUCGAGUACUGCUUGCAUGGCUCGUGUUCAAUUCAGCAUCACUCGGGAGGGUAUUUGGAGUGUUCAGAAGGUAAUGCUCGAUCACAAUCAUCAGCUUGUAAG
This is a long non-coding RNA of Triticum aestivum (bread wheat), 713 nucleotides long. RefSeq lists it as uncharacterized. The record is from RefSeq and is a predicted model, not a curated record. The transcript is spliced from 3 exons. Lineage: Eukaryota; Viridiplantae; Streptophyta; Magnoliopsida; Poales; Poaceae.